CCGAGCUCCGACCGUGCUCCGCGGGACCGGGGCGGGCCUGGCCGCGCACAGCCUCUUUGUCGGGGUUAACGCCCGAGGUGCUCGGCUCUCCCCAGCCGGCGGUCGGGGCGGGAUGCUGAAGAGGCUGAGGAGGAGACGUGUGGGCUGCGGCCGAGGAACACCUGCAUUUUAGGCAGGAGAAACGGUGCCUCGGUUUUUAAACGGAGACGAAUUUUUUGAAGUAUGAUUUGUUGUGUAAGUUUAUUUUGAACUGGCGUUUUUUUCUUCCCGAGUUCAGUAAUGGGUUCUGUUUUAACACAGAACCGUUUGUAAGGAAGACAAAUUCUCCUGAAUUUGUCUUUUUCACCCUGUAAACGCUUUCAUGUCAGGUACGACUCCUCUUGUUGCACCAUGCGGGAAACAAACGCUACAGAAUUCAGUCUGGGCGUAAAUUAAAUGCCUACUUGAUGCUCAGUCACAGAGCAAAUGUAAAUAUUCAUUUAGAUAACCAAAGUUGUGUGCGUUAUGGAUGUAAACCAAAGAAUGAGCAUCAGUUUUAACAGUAACAUUGCUUUUAAAAACUAAUUCGUAAUACUAAAAAGCCACUUGGAAAUUUAAUAGGGUCUAGGAAAGGAUGAGCUUCCUUUAACAAUUGACAAGAAGUGGCAAUACAGAAGAAAGAUGUUCCUAAAAGUAAAAGGUCAGCCUGUAGGCCAGCUGUACUGGAACUCAAGUAAAGCCUCACCGAUUCUAAAUGCAGCAGAAGAAAGUUUCUGGAAUCUGUGAGGAAGGAAGAAUCUCAGGACAUAUGUCCCCUCAGCUCUGCAUCCAGGAUCCUUGAAUAGCUGCCUUUUUCAAACCUGGGUCUCGCCCUCCUUUCUUGCCUACUUAUCUACUAGAAAACCGGUUUUUGUGUUUCUUAUGCUCCAAGUGACCCCACACAUCUCCCUCCUCUCCCACCUUUUGAAAGCUAUUGCUCUUGCUAGAUGGAAUAAGUAUGUCCAGUGGAGUCUAUGUUCAUGGCAGUUAGUUGGAAACGUAAAACUCUUUGGUCUGAGAAAGAUUCCCUUCUUUAAAAACAGUGGCAAAAAUCAAACAAAUUUCAACCCAAAUCCAAGCGCUUGCAGUUUUUCUAGGGGACGAGCAGUCUGUCUACACAAACUCACACCCUGAAGCCAAGAACCAGCAAGACCUCGCCAAGAAACCCGAACAACUGCAGCACACCGAGCUCACAGACAACACAGGGCACCGACGUUCCCUUCAGGCCUCUCGGGGUUACAGCUUUUCUCUUGUGGCUGCACGGCUUCUUCCAGCAGGUGUUACAUCACCGCUCCCACGGAGAUGAUGUGAUGGGACUCAAUGAAUGACUUCAUCUCCUGGAAUUUUCUUCCUGUGGGCGUUAAUGCAAGGGGAGACUGUUUAACUAUUGAGUAAACAAUACAUUCAUGGGUUAUUGAUGUCUGGGUAACUGGAAGGAACAGCAAGUUUCAGCUGCUCACUGCAUUCUAUGCAGCAAAAAAAAUAACAGGUGCUUGUAUUUUAGAGCCUUUUGUAAAGAAAAGCACUGAGAUUUUUAAAUGUCAGAUGUAAAAGGAAUAGUAAUUAUUUUGUCAUCAGGUCUGAUCUUAGCUUUGGUGGGAAUAAAAGCGUUUCAUUAAAA
Gallus gallus (chicken) is the source of this 1639-nucleotide long non-coding RNA. The record is from Ensembl. Lineage: Eukaryota; Metazoa; Chordata; Aves; Galliformes; Phasianidae.